UGGSKKUACCAGAAGUCGGUCGCUUAACCUUCGGGAGGGCGCCGACCACGGUGUGGUCAAUGACUGGGGUGAAGUCGUAACAAGGUAGCCGUAGGUGAACCUGCAGAAGGAUCA
RNAcentral lists this ribosomal RNA (114 nucleotides) under uncultured eukaryote. RNAcentral describes it as "partial small subunit ribosomal RNA". The record is from RNAcentral.